UACAGCACCUUGACUUAUAUUGCAGGUUUCUCAAAUGUCCUAGCUUUUGCAGGUAACAUCACUAGAUGGACAAAAUAUUGCAAUCAUUUGGAAACGUUGGCCAGGGUUUAACGAAGAUUAUAACAUGGACCAUGAGUUUUUUGGCCUAGACUUCUUGGUCUCACUCACUCCACCAGAAAAGGCUCUUCUUUUGGCUGCUACAUUUUUACUGAACUACAUGUUCUUUGAGAUGAGCUGAGAAAUAUGUGCCUGAGAAGAAAGACUUGUGUUAACUGCUUGCAAAAGAGUUCAUCUACAGUAUUUCCUUAUAUGAUGGAAGUCUCUGACCUUAGUGAGACAACUUAGUGUUACUUUGUACAUGUAUAUAACAAGCCAUAAAGUGGUGGUAUUCGGACCCCAAAAAUAACUGUUUGAGGAGGGGAAGAAACCCCCCCCCAUUAUUUUCUACAAACACAUUACAAGAGAUGAACUUUGCCGAUCCUAUUAAGCUAACUAGAACAUAAAAAUUGUGCAUUAACUAGUAAUGUCGCUGAUAAUGACGAAAGCAUUCCAUUUAACGCUUACUUAUAUUUCCAAACUGAAAUUAUAUAAGAACCAUUUAGUAGUAUAACAAUGUAGUAGAAGUUGACAGGACAUCAUAUGGGGAGGUUCUCCUUAUAGUGUUAUAAACAGUAAUGCAAGUUUGCAUUGACAAAAACCUGAUUUGAUAUAAAUUUUCGUU
Spea bombifrons (plains spadefoot toad) is the source of this 721-nucleotide long non-coding RNA. RefSeq lists it as uncharacterized. The transcript has 3 exons. Lineage: Eukaryota; Metazoa; Chordata; Amphibia; Anura; Pelobatidae. The record is from RefSeq and is a predicted model, not a curated record.